Long non-coding RNA from Bradysia coprophila, 162 nucleotides. NCBI's taxonomy places the organism in Eukaryota, Metazoa, Arthropoda, Insecta, Diptera, Sciaridae. The record is from RefSeq and is a predicted model, not a curated record.
UGACAUUUUCAAUUCCUUUUUAAAUAGUAGAUUACUGUACCAGUGAAGGAAUUUGAUGUCUCAUAUCCAGAUGAGGUAAAGUAUCCAAGGGCGUUAGCCCGAUGUACUUUUACUCAUCGUGAUACGAGGUAUCAAAUUCAUUCACGUGUACAGUAUGGCGUU